UAGAUAUGAAGAGUCUCAACCAUAGUAUAAAAUGCUCCUCAUAAAUUCAAACGAAUUUUACGUGACUGACUCCUGCCACUGAGCAACACAACAGAAAAGGCUGCUUUUUCUCCCCUCAGUACUGCUAUUGGACUUUCUCAUACCAAAUAUCUGUGAAUUUUGGUGCUUUGGGAAAGAUACUGGGAGUGUCAGAAGCAUCAUUUGAUGCCUGAUAUCAGCCCCAUUCCUUAAAUGUAUUCAAAAUGAGGAUUAUUUAGUGCAGGUCUGAGAUGAGGCACAGAGGCCUGGCCAGGAGGCAGCGGUGCCAUGCUAGAGGCUGCAGCUGCCAUGUUUUACCUCAGCAGCUGCCAGGCAGGCCAACAGCCCAGAGCACUGAGGGGAACCACCUGACCUCCAUUUUCUGUGCCCUGUCACCCACCCCUGCCCCAGCUCUCUGCAUUUACUCAUCAGUGUAAUUUAUUAUCCACAGCUGCCUUCACUGAUGAAUUUUCCAUUUCCCCCUGCUCUGGCUUGGCUAACACUCUCCAUUCUGCUCUCAGAGCUCCUGUGAGAAAAGGGGGUAGAAGCCGUGGCUCAUGGUAGUUCCUGCUCUGGGCCCUCCUCAGGUGUGAGGGCUCAUGAUGUUCACCUGUACAACCUGCUCUGAUCAUGGCUUCAAAUGCUUUGCCUUCAUAGAGCAACAGGCUUACAUCGCGGUCAGAGGUGGAACAUGUUGACGCUGUCAGUAAGGGCCAAGAUGAAUGCUGAUGGCGAUGGCUAAAGGCAGUACAGCAGCACGUAACUGAACGACUGGUCUGAACAAGAGGGUAACACGGACAUGCUGAGGAGGCAGCAGCUCAAAGCAGCAUGGCGUCCGGACAACUGGGAUGUGAAUGAGGAGUGAACAUGGUGGUGUAGCUGCACGUCAUGGGUACAUGAUGCGGAGAUGGCUAUGAAAAAUACUCACUUGUUCACCUGGUUCUGCCUCCUUUUGGCUUCUGCACCCCUUUGGUGCACAGCAGGGAAGUAGGUAUUUGUGUGUGGUGGGAGGUGUGACGCUAACAGACACAGGCACUUUAUCAAUGCACAACUGUAUCAGACGGGUGUUGAGUAGACCGAUGGACAACCAAUACAAAUGGUUCAUUAAACAAUUAACGAGCUCAGGCGCAGCUCCCGGCCUUGUUGAUGCCGAUGGAAGCUUUGCACUUAUUGAGCAGGGAAGGAAGGGGCAGCAUUUGAUGUUGGCUUCUAAUUGUUUGUCAAUCACUUGGGAUAAAGUUAGAAACGGUACGUUGAAGAGCAUCCUUUUCCCUUGACGAUUCCUUCGUGGACAUCAGGGUUUGCAAGGAGCAAGAUGCGGUGUUCAAGGGGGAGAUUUGGGGCAUGAACACCACCAGUGCUUGAUGUUUUGUACCGAGUUGAGGUACCUCAGCUAAUGGCUGUGUGCCCAAUGCCCUGUGGAGCUUCUAUUGAUGACCAAGCCCUGGUGCCAGCCCCCGGCCCCAC
Long non-coding RNA from Cygnus olor (mute swan), 1485 nucleotides. RefSeq lists it as uncharacterized. Lineage: Eukaryota; Metazoa; Chordata; Aves; Anseriformes; Anatidae. The transcript is spliced from 3 exons. The record is from RefSeq and is a predicted model, not a curated record.